UGAGGAAUAUUGGGCAAUGCCCGCAAGGGUGACCCAGCAACGCCGCGUGGAGGAUGAAUGUCGUAAGAUUGUAAACUCCUGUUAGAGGGGAAGAAUAGUACCGGUUGGACCGGUAUAUGACUGUACCCUCAGAGAAAGCCCCGGCUAACUACGUGCCAGCAGCCGCGGUAAUACGUAGGGGGCAAGCGUUGUCCGGAUUUACUGGGUGUAAAGGGCGCGCAGGCGGGAUAAAAAGUCAGUGGUGAAAUCCUACAGCUUAACUGUAGAACUUCCUUUGAUACUUUUGUUCUUGAGUUCGGGAGAGAGAGACGGAAUUCCAGGUGUAGUGGUGAAAUACGUAGAUAUCUGGAAGAACACCAGUUGCGAAGGCGGUCUCUUGGUCCGACACUGACGCUGAGGCGCGAAAGCGUGGGGAGCAAAC
Molecule: ribosomal RNA, 421 nt
Filed under: uncultured bacterium
Lineage: Bacteria
Description: bacterial SSU rRNA
Rfam family: Bacterial small subunit ribosomal RNA
Source: RNAcentral